This is a long non-coding RNA of Bombina bombina (fire-bellied toad), 4111 nucleotides long. RefSeq lists it as uncharacterized. Lineage: Eukaryota; Metazoa; Chordata; Amphibia; Anura; Bombinatoridae. The record is from RefSeq and is a predicted model, not a curated record. The transcript is spliced from 2 exons.
AUGAAAACAAGUGUGGAGAGAGAAGAGAAAGUGAAAGAACGGAGAAACUGAGGAAAUAAUGUGGAGAAGGGAGAUAGCUAGAAUAGGAGCAAAUACUGCCUGACAGUGCCUGUGUGUCAUCUACUCAAGUUCACCAAAGUCAGCCAACAGCUGUGGUUCCAGAUUGCAUCCUGUUUCUUCUUCUACAACAGCAAGUUCAUCCACACAUCCUGCAUCCUGUUUCUUCUUCUACAACAGCAAGUUCAUCCACACAUCCUGCAGCCUGUUUCUUCUUCUACAACAGCAAGGUCAUCCACACAUCCUGCAGCCUGUUUCUUCUUCUACAACAGCAAGGUCAUCCACACAUCCUGCAGCCUGUUUUUUCUUCUACAACAGCAAGGUCAUCCACACAUCCUGCAGCCUGUUUCUUCUUCUACAACAGCAAGGUCAUCCACAUCCUAGUGCAGCCUGUUUCUUCUUCUACAACAGCAAGGUCAUCCACAUCCUAGUGCAGCCUGUUUCUUCUUCUACAACAGCAAGGUCAUCCACACAUCCUGCAGCCUGUUUAUUCUUUUACAACAGCAAGGUCAUCCACAUCCUAGUGCAGCCUGUUUCUUCUUCUACAACAGCAAAGUCAUCCUGCAGGUGCACGGCAACUCUGAAAGCCUCUGUCUUCUACAGCAGCUAGGUCAGCCAUUCAGCCAGUGUCUUCUACAACAGAAAGGUCAGUCAUCCAAAGCCAGUGUUUUCUACAACAGCAAGGUCAGUCCUCCAGAGCCAGUGUAUUCUACAACUGCAAGGCCAGUCUCCUCCAGUGAAAGCCAGUGUUGCCUCAGUCUAAAUAAACAUGAAUAUGAGCAACCCCAUUGUUGUUGUCUUUAAAGUUUAUAUUUAAAUCAUUUCAAGUGUAACUGUAUAAGCCUGUGGUCUCUUGUCUCUCUUCUCAAUCAAGAUGACUGCAUCAUCAUUAAGUUAAGCAAGCCCAUUGUUGUCUUCUUUAUAUUCUAGAUAUAGUCUAGACCAAGUACAAGCCUGUGGUCUCUUGUCUCUAGUCUCAAUCCAGGUGAUGUCACUGCAUCAUCAAGUCCAUUGUUGUAUUCUUUCUUUAUAUUCAAGUGCAGCUAGCCUGUGUUCUCUUCAAUCAAGGUGACUGCAUCAUCAAUCCCAUUGUUUUUCUUUCUAUUUAUUCAAGUGCAGCAAGCCACUGUGUUCUCUACUUCUCUUCAACCAAUGUGUCUGCAUCAUAGCACUAUCAGCCUAUUUUCUUCUUCUUUAAAGUGCAGAAAGCCUGUGUUCUCUCUUCAAUCAAGGUGACUGCUUAAUCAAGCCCAAUAGCCCAUCGUUGUCUUCUUUAUAUUCAAGUGCAGCUAGCCUGUGUUCUCUCUUCAAUCAAGGUGACUGCUUAAUCAAGCGAGCCCAUUGUUGUCGUCUUUAUAUUCAAGUGCAGAAAGCCAGUGUUCUCUAAUUCUCUUCAAUCAAGAUGACUGCAUUAAAGCACUAAGUAUCAGCCUAAUUUUUUCUUCUUUAAAGUGCAGCAAGGCUGUGUUCUCUAUUCAAUCAAGGUGCACUGACUGCUUAAUCAAGCCCAUCGUUGUCUUCUUUAUAUUCAAGUGCAGCUAGCCUGUUUUCUCUUCAAUCAAGGUGACUGCAUCAUCAAUCCUAUUGUUGUCUUUAUAUUCAAGUUCAGCAAGCCAGUGUGUUCUCUACUUCUCUUCAAUAAAGGUGACUGCAUCAUAGCACUGUCAGCCUAUCUCUUUCUUCUUUAAAGUGCAGCAAGCCUGUGUUCUCUCUUCAAUCAAGGUGACAGCUUAAUCAAGCCCAUCAUUGUCUUCUUUAUAUUCAAAUGCAGCUAGCCUGUUUUCUCUCUUCAAUCAAGGUGACUGCAUCAUAUAGCACAUUGUUGUCCUCUCUUUAUAUUCAAGACUUUCAAGUGCAAUCCUGUGGUCUCUUGUCUUAAUUGCAACAGAAGCAUAUCAUCCAUUCUUUAAUUAUUAAUCAAAAUAAAUUGUGUGAUUCUAAUCAAAAAUCUUUAAGAAGCUUUUUUAAGACUGCUUCUGCUGCUUCAUCUCUGCAACUUGAAGAAGCUAUACUAGCAUAAUCAGAACUAAGCUAACUGCAUUAUCAAGGCCAUUCAAUAGUUCUCUGUCUUUGUAUUCAAGUGCAAGACUGUGGUCUAGUCUAUUUGUGCAACGGUUACCAGUGACACCUGACCCUACUGAUAUUGGCAGUGUGUGCGGUAGUAUAAUCUCCUCAUUUUUUGUGCCAGCUGGUAUUGUGUGGGUGGUACAUAAAAUUCAAGAUGAAUUCUGAAGAGCUGUCCGUGUCCAACAAUAACGACGAUGAUGAUGAAAAUUAUGUUGAUGUUGCUACAGAAUUGUUGUUGCCAAAGAAAAAUUCAACAUCAGUUGUUUGGGAAUAUUUUGGAUUCAGAAAAGAGGAUGUGAAACAGAACCAAGUAAUCUGCAAAACUUGUGGAACGAAGUAACACAUCAAACCUGUUCCAGCACCUUAAACAGCAUCAUAAGGAAAUCUUUGAACGAUGUAUGUCAAAAAAAAAAACCCUGGUAGAGAAAAGACAAUACAAACAAGCUGUGAAUCUAAAGUUGAGCAGCAAUCAAUCAAUCAUAAAGGCAUUGCAAACACAGUGACAUCACCAUAUGUGAAGACCUCAAAAAGGCAUAGAGAAAUAACCAAUGCUAUUGCAUAUUAUAUAUGCAAAGACAUGGUGCCUGCAUACACGAUUAGUAAAGAAGGCUUCAAAAGAAUGAUACACACACUCGACAAGAGAUACCAACUGCCAUCUUGCAAUUACUUCUGGAGAAAACUAAGUCAGUGUAUCAUAUGUGAAACCAGUUCUGCAUCUAUUAAACACAAAGAUACUGGCUCUGGAGGAAGAUGAUUCUGACCUUACCAAGACACUGAAAUCCAAAAUUCUUGAAUAUUUGAAUAAAAAAUUAAGAAGAUGAGGAUACUCAAGAUCUGCUAGAUAUGGCAUCAUUCCUUGAUCUACAAUUCAAGACAACCUACAUAAAUGUGGAUAAAAUUACAAGCAUCAAGGCCAAGGUGAUGUCUGAUAUGGCCAUUGUGUCUGAGCAGCAAGUCGUGCAGAUUUCAAGUCAGCUGGCCAGCUAAUUUCAUUUCAAUUAGCUUUGUGUGUCUUGAGUUCACUUGUUUGUAUUAUGUACUCUAACUAUAUUAGUGUUCUGUUAUGUACUACAGAAUAGCUGAGUGAUGUAAUAUGAAAGGUAGUGCAGGAUGUAAGGAUUGCCCUUGUCAAUGCCACAUCCCCCAUGUUUUCCUAGACAGUCACUCAGCUAAAUAACUAACACAUGCAUCAGUGUGCAUUGUAAUAGCUUUACUGUACUUAGAAACAGAACACACAUCAUGCUUCUGCACACUCAGCACUUUUCAGGUUUCUCCAUGCAUGCAAUGCAUACACUGUUUCAUAUGUUACUCAUACCACAGCUAGACUGACUGACCAGUGCCCAAGAAAACAAAGGACAAUGUGGUAAGAACUGGACAGCUAUUUUCAUUUCAAUUAGCUGUGUCUGUGUUGAGUUCAGUUGUUUGUAUUAUGUAUUGUACUAGUUACUCUAACUAUAACUGGUAUUCUACUUCUUACUGUGUUCUGUACUACAGCUAUCGCUGUAAAAAUUAAUGUAAUACGACAGGCUGCAGGAUGUCAGGAUUGACCUUGUCAAUGCCACAUCCCUCAUGUUUUCCUGGACAGUAACUCCUAAAAUGAAUAACACAUGCAGCAGUGUGUGCCUUCAUUGUACUUACUUUACUGCUAACUGCACUUAUAUUUAUUUAUAUAUACAGAACUUUACAAGUCAUACUGCUGUAAAGAGCAAUUUUCAGGUUUCUCCAUGCUUACACUGCUUCAUAUGUUAAUCAUACCACUGUGUCCACACUGUUAGAAUGACUGUCCAAUGAAACAUGAAUGUUGUGUGAACUUGUGUGUCAUAAGACCUAAUAACUGGCUAGUGGCUACUAUUUUAUCACAUCACAGGCAGCAAAUUUUAUUGUAACUAUUUUUUGUUUUGUAUUUUUAUGCUCAAAUAGUGUAUUGGACAUUGCUAAACAUGUACAUUAAGAUUCUGUAGUGUUAAAUAAAUUGUUUAAUGCUAAA